RNAcentral lists this long non-coding RNA (293 nucleotides) under Mytilus galloprovincialis (Mediterranean mussel). The record is from RNAcentral. Lineage: Eukaryota; Metazoa; Mollusca; Bivalvia; Mytilida; Mytilidae.
CAUAAACAUAUGUCUUGGGUAUUUCAAAACACCAUUAUUUUUUAUUUGGGAUUUCUAUAAAAAAAAUUGUAAUCUUUAGGUUACAUGGUGACUAAACCUUGUACACAGAUACAAUAAGGGGAGAAAUUUGAUUGGUUAACUUCCAAUGAUGGUUAUUUUCUUAUAUGCAAUGAAAUGUUAUGUGAAUUUUUUUCUAUAGAACUGGACAGGAUAAAACUUUACUCAUGCCAAGUAUUUCUUUAUUUGAAACAAAGAUAAAUUCUGCACAUUUUUUUGAAAAGUGCAAAUUUAAC